UCGGGCCGCCAGAGGUCUGUGUGAAGGACAGAUCCAGUGUGGGGAGAAAGUAGCCUGCAACAGGAGGCUAAGAAGAAGCUCCACUGGAUGAAUGCUGACAUUAGUGGUCCCUGCGGAUGUUUGAGAGUGGCAGCAGGUCCCAAGCUUGUCCAAGGCCCAUUCUCCAUCAUGAGGGAUGGCCACACAGUAAGCCAUCCCUAUUAACCUAGAGCUGACCCAGCCUGGACCCCCAAGAGCUGAUAUAGCAGGAGUCUCUGGGAAACAGGACCCCCAGCUCUUGCCUCCCCUGAGAAGAGCCCCACCUAGACCCUGGAGUCCAGAAGCAGGUGCUACACUUAACUUUUAUCCAGGGGAAUCUUUCAUCAGACUUCUAACCCUGGACAGGAUUGCAAGAUGGACGCAGGGUUGUUGCUGUGAGUCCCUGAGUUUGGGCAGUUUGUUAUAGCUUCAAUAGGAAACACAUGCCCGUGCUGAGCCCUUUGUGAGUGCCUGGCACACAAUAAAAGCGCAACAGA
Myodes glareolus (Bank vole) is the source of this 515-nucleotide long non-coding RNA. RefSeq lists it as uncharacterized. The record is from RefSeq and is a predicted model, not a curated record. Lineage: Eukaryota; Metazoa; Chordata; Mammalia; Rodentia; Cricetidae.